AAUGAACGCUGGCGGUAGGCUUAACACAUGCAAGUCGGACGGAAACGAUGAAGUGCUUGCACUUCAGGCGUCGAGUGGCGGACGGGUGAGUAACGCGUGGGAAUCUACCCUAUAGUUGGGGACAACAUAUGGAAACGUAUGCUAAUACCGAAUGUGCUCUAAGGAGUAAAGGAGCCCUCUUCUUGAAAGGUUUCGUCUAUAGGAUGAGCCCGCCGUGAGAUUAGCUAGUUGGUAAGGUAAUGGCGUUACUAAAGGACAACGAAUCUCUAGCUGGUUUGUAGAGGAGUGAUCAGCCACACUGGGACGUGAGGACACGGCCCACGACUCCUACGGGAGGCAGCAGUGGGGAAGUAUUGCACAAUGAGCGAAAGCUUGAUGCAGCCAUACCGCGUGUGUG
This 397-nucleotide ribosomal RNA is filed under the name uncultured bacterium. RNAcentral describes it as "bacterial SSU rRNA". It matches the Rfam family "Bacterial small subunit ribosomal RNA", at positions 29 to 407 of the family's 1533-position model. The record is from RNAcentral.